Molecule: long non-coding RNA, 3431 nt
Organism: Triticum aestivum (bread wheat)
Lineage: Eukaryota; Viridiplantae; Streptophyta; Magnoliopsida; Poales; Poaceae
Exons: 4
Source: RefSeq, a predicted model, not a curated record
AGGCAUAUGCACCGCCUUUUAUCAGUGUCAGAAAUUUAUGGUUUUUGGUCUACCCCAUAUUUAUCUGCGCUUAUCCGUGGUGCCGCUCACAAUUCACAUCUCUGAGGCUAGGGGUAGGGACCUUCUUAUACUGUCUUUCUUGACCGACGGACUGACUCGCCGGGUCCCCGCUCCUCGGGACCAGCCCCUCCUCCGUGCCGGAUCGCGCAUCGGCUUGGAGGCCCCUCGGGCUGCUGCCAGUGCGGGAGUCCUGUGUGGCCGUGCGGGCUGGGGACCGAGCGGCGGGGCCCGUGUGCGUUCCUGGCGAGGGCUUGCUGGGGCUGGCCGGGAUCUGAGGUUGGUAUGUUCAUGUAAAGAGUGACACUCCCUCCUUUUCCUUUUUAUCAUCAUCCCAGUUCACGUGCAGGGACUAGAUUGCUGGCUAGAUCUUCCUAACUCAACCACUUGAUAUUAAACUCUGUACGUGUAUAGCUAGAUUGCUUGCUAGAUCUUGCUUUAUAACUUAUUCAUUGCCUGCCAUACAAAGGUUCCGGUUUUGAAUUUUGUUUCAGAUUUUAAUUUUUGUUCUAGCUCUUUUUUGUACAGACAAUGUGUAUGCCGUUUAAACAAUGAUUAUGACAUUGCGAGGCCUGGUAUAGAUUGUAUUUAUUAUUUAUUUAUUUCCAGUUUUGGUUAAGAGUUGUUUCUUGAUACACCUACGUGCUCUUCAAUUGCAGGUCCAUGAUGCAGUUCUACCUCUCUACGUGCUUUUAUAAUCAUGUGUUUGUUUUAAUUUGAUUUUCUCAUAUAUACAUUGUAGGUUUUCCUAUUUAUGUUUCUUGCUGUCACAAAAACGCUAUCUUUGUUGUGGCCAAAUAAUAAGUAGAGACAAACAUUGCCGCUACAUUAUGUGCUUAUUCCAUCAUAUGUAAAUAUUAAAUUAAUACGCGAUCAUCCCUCACAGUAAGUGACACCUUUUAUUUCGUAUAUCAGAUGUAUAAUGCACAAUCAUCUCUCGCUGUACGUGAGGACCAUCAAAAGGUUUGCUAAAGUUUAAAAAGUGCCCAAUUGAUAGGUCACGUCAGCAUUGGGCGUGCAUCUCUAGAACAGAAGGAGUGGAAUAGAAGGCAUUAGGUAUGUGGUUACGGCUUGCUGUGUUCGCCGGGCUCUCUCGAACAUGAAGAAGAUGUGCUACCAUGAAUUCCACAUCUUGCCGCUUGUUGUUUAAUGGUAUUCACUUUGAUCUGUAUGAAUACUUGAUUAGUUCAUUUUCAUUUAUAGCAUUGUAGAUGUUCGCCUCUGCUACUCGAUUUUCAUAAUGGAACAUCCAGUUUAGGUGGGCCAAACAGCCGGUAAGCUUAAGAAUUGGUGGUAAGCUCUUGCAAGAACUUGCAAGCUUCUUGUGUUAAAUUUCAUUUAUGUGCCUGUAUUUGUUCUUGAAUCCUUGUUCUUUUUGUGUACUUUAUACGGAGGUUGCAGUAACUCACAGCACUACAGUUUUCUUUCCCUGUACUUUGUAACAUAUAGGUGUACAUAGUUACUGUUAUUUGCGUUUUGAUUAAAAUGAGAACAUAAUUCUUAUGAUCUACAAUGUCCGUAUAGUGUAUCUCUUCUAGAUGGAAAGGUGUGCGGAAGGGAUUUGUACCACCGGGUAGCAAUUGAACAGGAAGAGGCUUAGUAAGGAUAAAAUAGUAGAAGAGCACUAGAGGAUGCUUCAAGGAAUUGUAAAGCGGGAUGAGAAGUGUCGCAAAAGAAUCAAUUCUGCUGGUAUCGAUUACGAGUGUCCAGCCCCUGUAAGUAACACUUGAUGUUGUUCAUUGAUUUAAUAAAUUGAUCUUACUUCAACAGAUUUGAAUUAGCUCAGCAAUUUGCCACAUAAUUGUAAUUGUAUUAAGAAAAUUUCAACUUUUUGUUGACCUGGAGCAAAAGGCAUGCAAUAGUAGUGCCCUGGAGCCAAAUUUGCAUGUGUUACUGUGUAGGUCCUUGAUAUUUAUAGUACUGGUUGUUUAUUCUUAUCUACAUUUGCUUACUGAAAUAAUUUAUCUAUUGGCACCAAGGUUUGUCCCAGGCUUUGCUUAACCAUAUUUUGAGUUGUGCUUCAAUUGUUUUUCGUUUCAUGCCGUAUGUGGCAGUUACUCUCUGGAGAUAAGUUGUACCGAAUAAACAGUUCAUAAUUGAUCACUACAUUAGCUCCAUGUAAUCUCAUGUAAAAAUGCAGCUCCAUGACCCGCUUGAAAGAGAGGAGAAGGGUUGCCUCCCAUCCGUCUCAUCCCAUCCCCUUGUGCCAUCCAUGAAAGAGAGGAGGGAGUGCAGAAAUGAGCGUGGUGGCAAUGCGCUGAUGCUGGCCGGUUGAGGCAUGGUCGACGUUUCAGUCAAGGGGUCCCUGCAUUUGUGAAUAUGAUGGUCGGCUCACUGUGGCGGUCGGCCAUGGAAUAGUUGUGAGGGAGAGCACCCCUUUAGCGCCUCUCCGCAUAGUUCUUCCUUCCCCUACUGCCGGUCAACACUUCGAUAUCCUUGUCCAAGGCCGGCGUGUACAGUUUCAGCCUCGUUCCCAUGGAUGGCAAAGUAUGUCUUGUCAUGAUGCGCAGAAAUCUUCUAAGUUGCCGCUGAAGGGAGAAGACAUGGGGUCGGAAAAAUGUUAAGAUUGACUUGAUGUGUGGUAAGGAAAAGCCAGUAGAAAAGUUUUUGAUGCUUGAGCAUUCACUACUCAGUUAUUCUUUUAGGUACGCAUAAUCUUCCAAGUUAUAAUCAAUUCCUUUUAUUUGGGCACGCAUAAUGACCAUUCCUCGGCAUCAAGUUCUUCUGAUGUGAAGAGGAGUUCCUGAUACUAGAUGAACAUACCAGCCUACUUGCCUACAACCAAGGUAGAAUUAUCAGCGGAGACACCACAGUCAGAGCUGGUGACUGAAGAAAGCCUACAGAUAGCUACCAUCAAUGUCUUUUUUUUAGCCAAGAUCUUGCACGUGACCGUUGUUUUCGAAGCCUUAUCUGCAGUUGAGAAUAUAAGGCGAGAAGACGCAGGUGCACGAUACAUUGGAUACUACAAAGUAGACACGGUUCUACAAACGACAUGGCAGAAUAUCUAUACCAUAGUUGAAGCAAAGCACCCUAUAUCCAUUAAAAUAAAUAGUAUACGGAUUCUAACGUCAAGGAAGAAAAUGAGACAAUAACAUUUGAUGAAUAUUCAAGUUCUUGGUAGAAAGUAGGAGUGCUUAUGAGGGGUGCUGCUAUAAGGGGAUGGCGGUAAUCAGAAAAAAAUUGCAAUUCGGUGAAAUAACUACCUCAUAGAAGAGUUAAUUGGUUUCGAUGUAGGAAAAAUCUGCAGGCUGGUUAAGCUUUGAUGUAUAAAUAGUAGCACUUCGCUUUGUGUAAAAAAAGUUCUUGCUAAGGUUAUUCAAUGGGCUAAGUUUUCUAAACAGUGUUGACUUGAUAUUACAGUACUAAAAUCUCGA